AUGCCCAACAACAGGGACGUGUACAAAAGGAUCCUCAUCGAGUUGGCACUGAAGCGCUCCGUGAAGCCUUGGUUCAUGAACGAGGCCAGGAUCGAAAGAACCACUUCCAUGACGGCAUGAAGAUGACCAAGCCGAUAAAGACCUCUGACUGAAAUAUAUCGACUUGGCCCCAAGUCAGAUGUACUCCUCCCAAGAGUACCAAUCCCACCAAGAUCGACCACCUUAGCAUGAUUCGAGCCAUGAAGCAACUGGCUUUGGAACGUCUUUCCUUCUUGAGGUCGGUUCCCUGGCAUUUCUCGACAAGCCAAUUAGCGUCCGCCAUCAACAGCUGGUUGGCACUCUCAGCCUUUGGUCUUCGGCCCAACUCGCAUGAAUUCCCGCUCCAAUUCUCGCGGUCGUUCCCGACACCAAAACGACGACUACCAAUACGUCUGCCAAUACGGGAACAACACGCUCUUGACAUUAUGGAUCAUGAAUCGCCAACAGUGGAAUUUGGUGCGUGUUCCUCACAACAUGAACUUGACAGAGGUUGUCAAAAAUUCGAGAAAAAGGUGGUAGACCUUUAUGUUCCGGAAAGUUUAUCGUUCUAGAUUUUGCACUAAACAUGCAUUUCUUGGAAAAAAUUCCAUAACAUAGCGACCAUCUCUCACGCUAAAUCCUCUCGUACUUCACAAACGUUCUGAAAGAUUUUUUCGAGAAAAAUGGUCAUUAGCCUUGCAAUGAGACUCCCUACCGAUGGGUUGCGAUUGGAAGAAAACGUUGAUAUCAUCCAUGAAAAAAGAGACUGUUAUAUCAGUUUGUGCACCUUCCUUGCAUUAUUUCAAACCUCAUUUAAUUUGCAUAUUAAUAUGUAUGGCUGCUUAGUCCUAAUCUAAUGCCAAACUUCUGCUCAUUGGUAGGCUUUUUGUUUUAAAGAAAUGUAAGGAUUGCUAGCAGAAUAGCUGUAUAGAAUAUUCCUGUCUGGCUUGCUCUCAUCGCACUCUCUGGGAGUUGCUUCCUCUAUGGGAUAACCCUUGAUAUGUGCCCACGACAAAGUAACACAUUCGUUCUUAGUUGUGAAUACUUUGUCCAUCUGGGAUAUGCGUGUGGCAUAC
Long non-coding RNA from Tigriopus californicus, 1094 nucleotides. RefSeq lists it as uncharacterized. Lineage: Eukaryota; Metazoa; Arthropoda; Copepoda; Harpacticoida; Harpacticidae. The transcript has 3 exons. The record is from RefSeq and is a predicted model, not a curated record.